RNAcentral lists this unclassified non-coding RNA (259 nucleotides) under Hevea brasiliensis (rubber tree). The record is from RNAcentral. Lineage: Eukaryota; Viridiplantae; Streptophyta; Magnoliopsida; Malpighiales; Euphorbiaceae.
AUAAAGCAAAGUAUCUUAUUCAAACCUGAUUUCUUUGUGCAUUUUUUCUGUGUUUUUUAUAUGUGAUUUAUUUGAAUUACCAUCUCAAUCUUGACUGGAAUAUUAUAUAUUAUAACAACGUUGCUGAUUGUUUCUAACCUCCCUCCUUUCUUAAACCUUUUGUAAUUACAUGUCUAUAUUCUAAUGAUCUCAAUAAGAAACAUGGCGUUGUUUUAAUUAUUUUCCUGCCUAAACCAUGAGAUGAUAUUAUUAAUUUAAG